UGAAUUAGUUAGCCCCAUAUGGUUCCUAUUAAGUAUCUUAGAGCAUCUCCAACGGGAGAAAAAUGGAGCUCUCAUGACAGUCUCUCUAAAUUAUUGUGGAAAAAAAUAAAUCAUAAAGGUUUAAUACUGAGAGAAUCGUUUCUCUUAAGAGAGAUUUUGGAGCUGAAGAGAGACGCAUACGUGUCGUUGUUUUUCAGUAUUUCUUUUUUUUUUCCGUUUUUUUUCUCUACUAUCAUCUUUUCACUGGGACUUUGAGGAUCAUUGGACUUACCUGAAACGAGCUGGCCGACGUUGAUUUCGGUAGGCUUAUCGGCUCUGAGAUUCAUGGAUUCCAUACUUUGCAAGAAUUUAGGGACAUUUUAGGUUGAUUAAGGGAUCUUGGCUUUGAUUUGAGAUACCCAUCUAACGUGAAGAAGCUAGUGAAGUAUAUUUCAACCCCACCUGUGAGAGAGCUUCAGGGGAUAAUCCAUUUGGGUGGGUAUUUUUCUGGCUGUACCACUUGCAGUUUCUCAAAAGUGAGUGAAGGAACUCAUUUUGGUUGAUUAUACUCUGAGUGAAGGAACUCAUUUUCGUUGGUUCUGCUCUUCUAAGUGAAGAGGGCUUACAAGCUUGGAAAGCAAGUUUCCAACAGAGUAAUAUCAUGUCUGACCGGAACCAUACAACGGAACAUUCCACAUAUCGUUUUACAUUUCUAUUGACCUUGACCUUUAUGUUUUAAUUUGUCAAGAAGUCUACUGCAUUUCUAUUCUCUCCUAUCUCAUUCCUCUUUAUUUACUUGCUUUCACAUGGUAAGGAAUUGUGAAUAUAUGGUCUCAGCCUCUCAUGUUAGACAUUUCUUCUAUGAUUCUCAUUUUUUCUAUUGUGAAUAAUUUUUUU
RNAcentral lists this long non-coding RNA (876 nucleotides) under Arabidopsis thaliana (thale cress). RNAcentral's name for it is "ncRNA (AT5G05435)". The record is from RNAcentral. Lineage: Eukaryota; Viridiplantae; Streptophyta; Magnoliopsida; Brassicales; Brassicaceae.